Molecule: non-coding RNA, 27 nt
Filed under: Rattus norvegicus (Norway rat)
Lineage: Eukaryota; Metazoa; Chordata; Mammalia; Rodentia; Muridae
Source: RNAcentral
UGAGUAAGCAAGAAUGGGCACCGGUGU